AGUCCGGCGCCGGAUCGCGGUUGCCCAGCGCGCUGUGCCCUGCCGGGGGCGGGCCACGUUUGAUCUCCGGGCCCGCAGCAAGGGAUCGCGAAGGUUGGCCUCCGGUUCUGCCGAUAGGGACGGGGGGAGGGGGCGUACAAAACACCCGCGCAGUCUGGCUAAUGAUAGGCGGGCCGUGGGGAGGGGGAGGGGCGGAGCGCAAAACGCCGGGUUUGAAUCUUGGAAUUAAAAAGAGGGCAGGGGCUGGGCGCGGUGGCUCACUCCUGUAAUCCCAGCACUUUGGGAGGCCGAGGCGGGCGGAUCACAAGGUCAGGAGUUCAAGACCAGCCUGGCCAAUAUGGCGAAAACCCGUAUCUACUAAAAAUACAAAAAACAAAAUUAGCCAGGCGUGGUGGCACGCGCCUGUAGUCCCAGCUACUUGGGAGACUGAGGCAGAAGAAUCGCUUGAACCUGGGAGGCGGAGGUUGCAGUGAGCCGGGAUCGCGCCACUGCACUCCAGCCUGGGCGACAGAGCGAGACUCCGUCUCAAAAAGAAAAAAAAAGAAAAAAAAGAGGGCAGGAAGAGGAAACAACAGUUGCGGAGCUGGACUUGAUGGAAGGGAGCAUUUGCGUGCGGCGCGCAGGGCACUGAGUCACCAUCGUGGCCGCGUCCUCGCGCUCUCCUAGCGAUUUCUCCGGAGAAAGCGGAGCAAGGUCAGCCGGGCAGCCCUUCAAGGACGGCGCGCCGCUCCUGCAUGCUGAUGGCCUGCGGGGCUGCCUGCCCGUGCCCCGGCGCCCAACUCCUACAAGGAAGAAAUUCAGGGGCUCCCCGCCCCCGCCACAGUCCUCUUCCCCCUCCCCAGCUGCAACUCGGCAGCCGUUCGUCAAAGACCCUGUUGUCACCGAGACACUGGGACCUUGUCUCAUCCUUGGAACCACUCGUAAAUCUUAGGUCAGGCAGCCGGCAGCCUUCGGGGACCACAGUCCCCCCAAAGCUUUAGGAAGCCAGUUACUACAUCCGGAAAGAUUCGUGCUUCAGAACGCAAGCCAGGGAGAAUAAUCACAGAAACGCAAUGCGAAUGUCGUGCCUCUCAGAAAUUCUUAGCCUGAAAUACCGUCCCCACCCCCCAACCCGGCCAGGCGACAGUCCUGUCAUCCUAACACCGCAGAGGCUCCAAGCGCUGGGAGUCGUGUGCCCGCGGCGCUCGCCACUGAGGCCGGUUGGAAGAUUCUAGGGUGCCCCUUCCCAGGUUCCAGCAGGCACUCCGGGAUGUUCUAGAGUCAGGCCAGGGAUUCAACAGCGAACCUGACCGAAACUCAAACCUCAGCACAAGAACUUUGAUGGGGGAAGUGCCCAGACUCCAAUACUCUCGACCUUGGCAUUUAGUAGUUUCUUCUUUGAACUGGAAAGAUCAAAUAAUGCACAGUAAAAUCUCAUGAUAAGGGUUCCACCAAGAAUUCGGGAUUUGUGUUAAUUCAUAAGGCAGAAGUGGCCCCUGUGCUAUCCAUGAAGAGUUUCUGUAUUUCUCUGCAAGGUCACAGGUAUUGAUCUAGGCGCUGCUGUGAAGGGAAUUUGCAGAUGUAAUUGGCCUAAAUCAGUUGGCUUUAAUAUCAGGAAAUUGUCCUCAGUGGGCAUGGCCAUAUGGAGCCCUUACAAGGGACUGGGCUCUUCCUGGUGAAAAAGAUUUGAAUCACGAGAGUGGCUGAUAUGAGGGAAAUUCUUUGCUGUUGCCUUCGAAGACAGAAGAGGUCCACAAGGCAAAGGAUGCAGACAGCCUGUAGGAGCUGAGACUGGCUCCUGGCUGACAGCCAGCAAGGAAAUGAGGACCUCAGUCCUCCAAUCAUGAAGCAGACUCCGACUUCUGCUAACAACCUGAAUACACUUCAAAGAGGAUUCUGAGCUCCAGCCGCCUACACAUUGAUUUCAGCUGUUGGGACCCUCAGCCGAGAACCCAGCUAUGCCGUGCCCAGAUGUAAGACCUACACAUCUGUGAGCUUGUAAGUGUGUGUUGCUUUAAGCCACUAAGUUUGUGGUAAUAUGUUUCACUGCAAUAUGAAACUAAUACUUCUGUGUGCAGUUAUAGUUUGUUCAAUCUUAUUGCUAUAUAGUAUGCCAUCAAACGACUGUGGCACAACUUAUCCAUUCUACAGCUGAUGGACAUCUGGGUAGUUGCUGCCAUCAGCCUUCCAGUGCAUGGUUUUUUGGGUGAAAACAUGC
This 2197-nucleotide long non-coding RNA is filed under the name Homo sapiens (human). Its description in RNAcentral is "non-protein coding lnc-KATNAL2-1:10". Lineage: Eukaryota; Metazoa; Chordata; Mammalia; Primates; Hominidae. The record is from RNAcentral.